Long non-coding RNA from Lathyrus oleraceus (garden pea), 2255 nucleotides. RefSeq lists it as uncharacterized. NCBI's taxonomy places the organism in Eukaryota, Viridiplantae, Streptophyta, Magnoliopsida, Fabales, Fabaceae. The record is from RefSeq and is a predicted model, not a curated record. The transcript is spliced from 2 exons.
UAUUCUAACUAAUCACUAAAAUUAACGACAAUCCUAAUUAUAAAAAAAAAAAAGGAAAAAAACUGAAUUAUCCUAAUUAUUAAUCAGUAGUCAGCAAGGUUAAUCAACAAGCAAAAACAAGAUUAUAAUAAAUUACAAGAAGUAAGGGAGGAUUAGUGGGGAUUAAUGAAGAACAAAACAUGAGAUAGGCUAUGGGUGUUGUCAAUGGAAAGGAAGGUAUGAAGGGAUUACCUGGUUGGGGCAAAAGGCCCACUUCAACACCCAGAAUCCGGACCCCAUCAGCAACCUAGAAUCUGCAGAUAAGAAGAACAAGCACUGAACAAUUUAUAUCCCUCAACAAGCCGUCUUCCUCACCGCGAAGCAUAUAACUAGUGCGACGAAGAAGAAUGAAAUCGGUACAGUUCCUCACGUCGAAAAUCACCGGUCGAAAAGCUUCCGCACACGGGGAAAGGUUUUCAAGUUCAAUCCUUAAAUGAAGGAGAUCACGAUGGACAAAAACCUCGACGUUUGCUUUACUCUUCUGCUAGUGGAUAAUCGGGAAGAAAAUCCUCGCGUUUUCGCGAUGCCGACUUGAGAUGAGGGAUUGAAUUCGGGUUCGCGUGCUGCUGUUGAAGGAUAGAAAAUCGAGAUGGAGCUUUGUUCGUGCGCGUUGCAUGGAGAUGAGACGAAGACAUUCGGAUAUUGCGGGGGAAGUAUGGCGAAAUCAGUGGUUGAAGCAAUGAAUCAAUUUCUUCACGAAUUGUUCAUUGGAGGAUCCAUGAUGAUAAAUGUCAAAGGGUGUUAAUCCCUCUCGAUUUCCUGUUGCAGUUUCGUCGCAUGUCCUUGGAUGCAGGGUGAAGAAGGUUGAGGUCGGAAGUUGAUAGAGGAUGUGUUGUUCCCGUGAAUCCUUCUCAAUCUCCCUGUUUUUGUUUCUGUUUUUCGACCUGCCACUUUCUCGCUCACAUUCGUUUCUGUGAAUGUUGCAGAGGCUUCUUCGCGGUUGAUUCCGGAAUUGAGAGGUUGAGCAUCGGCAAGAAAGGCACGUGUUGUUUUGCUGAGUUCUUUGAUUUUUCUUGGAAGGUUUCUGCAGAAUUGUAAUUCGAAGAGGGUUGAAGAGUUUUGAAUUGGGGAGUUUCUUUGAGGGUUAGAAGUUACAGGUUUUGGUUGGAGGGUUGUUACUGUUUGAGGUUCCGUUAUGGAAGUUACAAGGUGUGAAUUGAAGAGUUGUUAGAAGUAUGGAGGAUGGUUGAGGAGAAGAUGAUGCAGGGUGGGAGGUUGAGGUUAAGGGGGUUCUGUUAAAUUAUGCAGGUUUUGUUCUUAUCAGUUGAGGGUGAGAAUGAGAGUUAUGAAGGAUGAUGAAGGGCUCUGUUUUGAGGGGGGUCGAAGGUUUGGUUAGUUUCUCUUCUCUUAUGAAGUGAGGGCGAAGAAGAGGUUAUAUGGCGAUUUGGUUACGGAAGUUAGAAAGCUGUUACAUUCGGUUGAGGGUGGUUGAUAAGUUGGUUAUGACAGUUGGAGGUGAGGAGAAAAAUCAGUUAGAAGUGAAGGGAAGUUAGAAAUUAGUUACAGGUUGUUAUGAGCUUUUAGAAGUUGAAGUCAUAAGCUGGAAAAUGAAGUUUUGAGUAGUUAGAAUGAGGAGAAAAGGUGAAUAAAAUCUGUUAUGGAUUGUUGGUUUUUGCUAUCUCUUCAAUAUCUCUGUUUCUGUUUUUGUUAGCUGCUAUUUGCUUUUGUUUUCUUCUGCUAGCAGCUUUUUCUUUGGAAAUUCUGUUGUGGUCUUGGUUGAUGAUUGGCUCUUUUUUUUUUACUCUACAAUGUUUUCUAUGGAGGCUCUUGUUAACUUGGUGCAGGGUUUUAUCCAUGGUCAGCCAUGUCUAUCAUGGGUUCAGUUUCCGGUUUAGAAUUGGUGUUGCAGGGAAGUUAAACAGGCGGGGUUGUUGUUGCAAGGAACCACACAUUUGUCGGAGCUGUUGGCCAUGAAACCGGAUUUUGAUGGAAGUAACUCAUGUUGGAUUGUAUUAGUAGGGUUUAUGGAUUGCUUAAGCAAGGUUUUGGAAAUGUUCGGAAUUUCGAUUGCUCAUGGCUUGGCUUGGAAUGCUUUUGCAACUUUGGAUAUUUUUUGUAAUAAAUUUGUGAUAAAGUGUGUAUUAUAAUGUGAUUGGAAUUGAAGGCUAGGUGUAUGAAUAUGGAAUAUGGAAUAUGAAUUGAAUGAAUGAAUUAGUGUAAUGGUUUGAAUUGUAUUGAAGAGUAAUUUGGAAAUUGAAAUGGUAAUGAUUUGUAAA